GGGCUCGGGACUCGCCGAGCCCCGCCAGCCCCAGGACUACAGCGGCCAACAGGCACUCCAGGUCCGACCGGUGGGAGGCGCUGCGGGGCAGCUUCCUAGGAGGACGUGACUCAAGGGGCCGGUGGGUGGAGCUGGGAACCCAGGCUGGAGGAUAAGGGCUGAUGUCCGUCACUCACUCGGCCAAAGCCUCCGUCUCCGGCCAAGGCCCCCGGCUGGUCCCAGGCAGUUAGGCCCACAGACCCACUGCAUUCUUUGAGUCCGAGAGGCACUGACUGCGCUGGGGCUUUCACGGUCUGACCCGGCUCCUGCGGUCCCGUGGUCCCGCCGCUCCCCUCCGCUGCCGCCUGGGGCUUGGAGUACAGACACACCUGCAAACACCGCGGCUCAACUGGCACAGCGGCGCUGAGGGGCUUCCCUGGUGGUGCAGUGGUUAAGACCAAUGCAGGGGACAUGGGUUCGAGCCCUGGCCCGGGAAGAUCCCACAUGCAGCAGAGCAACUAAGCCCGUGAGCCACAACUACUGAGCCCGCACGCCUAGAGCCCGUGCUCCGCAACAAGAGAAGCCACCGCAAUGAGAAGCCCGCGCACCUGAAAGAAGAGUAGCCCCUGCUCGCCACAACUAGAGAAAAGCCCGCUCGCAGCAAC
This is a non-coding RNA of Kogia breviceps (pygmy sperm whale), 644 nucleotides long. The record is from RefSeq and is a predicted model, not a curated record. NCBI's taxonomy places the organism in Eukaryota, Metazoa, Chordata, Mammalia, Artiodactyla, Physeteridae.